GCGGGGGUCGUCGCCCGUCGGCGCUGGAGGUCAGUCGUGAAGAGAGAGCUCGGGGUCUGGGUCCCUGCUGCCCAUGGGCCGGAUAAAAUACAGAAAAAGUGAACUUGAGCUUGAUGGUGCUAAAGAAAUUGAAGGCUUAUUAGAGGUACAUACUUCAUUUCUGAAGAUUAAGAUGGCUGAAGGGGGUAGCCAUUGAGAUAAAAAGGCAUCUUUGAAAAAGCCUUGUUUUUUGUGCAGCAGGUAUGUGGAUGGAUUUUUUUUAACACCUGAAUAUGGUCUUUUAGUGAGAAGAAUUGGAACCAAAAAUGUAAAUACCAUGACAUCAUAUUUUGGCAGAGGCAUAGAAGAUAAACUAGGCUCUUUAAUCUUUUUGUUUAUAAUUUUAGAAAUAUAUUUAAAUUUCCCUAUUGUAUAAAUACUGUACAAACAUUUAAUUUUUAGAAAAGUUAUUUUGUGCAUACAUUUAUAUAGUUAUUCCUUCUUCCAAGCAAAAUACUCUUCAGUACUGUAUUUGUAAUAGUUGGCCACUUAAAUCACUGCAAUAAAUAAUUUCUCAGAUUUAAAAUUUUGAUUUUU
RNAcentral lists this long non-coding RNA (576 nucleotides) under Monodelphis domestica (gray short-tailed opossum). RNAcentral's name for it is "lncRNA (ENSMODG00000039339.1)". Lineage: Eukaryota; Metazoa; Chordata; Mammalia; Didelphimorphia; Didelphidae. The record is from RNAcentral.